RNAcentral lists this long non-coding RNA (200 nucleotides) under Olea europaea (common olive). RNAcentral describes it as "long non-coding RNA (OEUR_LNC009403)". The record is from RNAcentral. Lineage: Eukaryota; Viridiplantae; Streptophyta; Magnoliopsida; Lamiales; Oleaceae.
UAAUAAGUCACUCUAAUUCAUGCAAUUACACACAUCAAACAUAUUGAAAGUGUAAAAUCAACAUUGCAACAGAAUUAAGUGACCACAUACAUGCAGAAAGGAUUACACACAGAUGCAAUGUAAGAACUAGGUUUAUUCUCUCAAUAAACCUCACUAGAAUCACUACUCGACCCUAAAGUCACAUUCGUCUUGUCUCUAUC